This 484-nucleotide ribosomal RNA is filed under the name uncultured bacterium. RNAcentral describes it as "partial 16S ribosomal RNA". It matches the Rfam family "Bacterial small subunit ribosomal RNA", at positions 899 to 1397 of the family's 1533-position model. The record is from RNAcentral.
ACUCAAAUGAAUUGACGGGGGCCCGCACAAGCAGCGGAGCGUGUGGUUUAAUUCGACGCGACGCGAAGAACCUUACCAGGGCUUGACAUGCACGGUAAACCGGCGGAAACGUCGGGUGCCGCAAGGCGAUCGUGCACAGGUGCUGCAUGGCUGUCGUCAGCUCGUGCCGUGAGGUGUUGGGUUAAGUCCCGCAACGAGCGCAACCCCCGCGCCUAGUUAGAUCCUCUAGGCGGACUGCCGGGAUUAACCCGGAGGAAGGUGGGGAUGACGUCAAGUCAGCACGGCCCUUACGCCCUGGGCUACACACACGCUACAAUGGGCAGGACAACGGGUUGCCAAGCCGCAAGGCGGAGCUAAUCCCAUCAAACCUGCCCCCAGUUCAGAUCGGGGGCUGCAACUCGCCCCCGUGAAGGCGGAGUUGCUAGUAACCGCGGGUCAGCACACCGCGGUGAAUACGUUCCCGGGCCUUGUACACACCGCCCGU